This 241-nucleotide ribosomal RNA is filed under the name uncultured bacterium. RNAcentral's name for it is "partial 16S ribosomal RNA". It matches the Rfam family "Bacterial small subunit ribosomal RNA", at positions 530 to 769 of the family's 1533-position model. The record is from RNAcentral.
GGGUCCGAGCGUUAUCCGGAUUUAUCGGGUUUAAAGGGUGCGUAGGUGGUUUGAUAAGUCAGCGGUGAAAUUUUCCGGCUCAACCGGGAUACUGCCGUUGAUACUGUAAGGCUAGGAUAUGGUUGCUGUGGGUGGAAUGUGUGGGUGUAGCGGUGAAAUGCUUAGAGAUCACACAGAAUAUCGAUUGCGAAGGCAGCUCACAAAGCCAUUAUUGACGCUGAGGCACGAAAGUGUGGGGAUC